RNAcentral lists this long non-coding RNA (745 nucleotides) under Olea europaea subsp. europaea. The record is from RNAcentral. Lineage: Eukaryota; Viridiplantae; Streptophyta; Magnoliopsida; Lamiales; Oleaceae.
GUCCGUGAUCUACCAUUAUAGUUUGUGGAAUUCCAAACCUAUAAAUAAUGUGAUCACGAAUAAACUCUAUAACAUUCUUCUGGGUGAUCUCUUUUAAAGGUACUGCUUCUACCCAUUUAGUGAAAUAGUCGGUUGCAACUAUAACAAAAGUAUGUUGAUUGGACGAUGGAGGGUAGAUCUUCCCUAUUAGAUCUAUCGCCCAACCUUUGAACGGCCAAGGUUUAAUAAUAGGUGCCAUCUCUCGCGCUGGCGCCCUUUGUAUUGGACCAUGCUUUUGGCAUGCUAAACAACUUUUUGCGUACUGAACGCAUAGUUCUACCAUCUUUGGCCAAAAGUAUCCACUCCUAAUAAUUAACCAUCUCAUCCUUUGGCCAGCUUGAUAAGCUCCACAUAUCCCUUCGUGCACUUCAGCCAUGAUCGUCUUGGCUUCUUGCAAACUUACACACUUUAGUAAUACACCAUCAGGGCGUUUCUUAAAUAACUCUUCGUCUAUUAGUAUGUAAUUCAGCGAACAUAACUUUGUUUUCCUACUAAUUCUUCCAUUAGGUUCUUGAAGGAACCCUUUAAUCUCUGUUCGCCAAUCCACUGCAUCUCCAUCUUGUAUACAGUGAAGUUCAAUUUUUCUCGCCCUUCUUUGAGUUACGGGCAAUAUGAUUCCGUAUUCACAAGUAGACUUCCAAUCCAAGAUUUUAGAGUACCCUGAAGCCAUUUGGGCCAACUCAUUCGCCACGUCGUUAUAUAUCCU